Molecule: long non-coding RNA, 3553 nt
Organism: Mustela lutreola (European mink)
Lineage: Eukaryota; Metazoa; Chordata; Mammalia; Carnivora; Mustelidae
Exons: 3
Source: RefSeq, a predicted model, not a curated record
CUCUGAGCGGGUGGGCGGAGGAGGAGGCGGCCGACGGGGCUGCGGGGGAGGGGGUGGUCAGCGGCAUCUGGCUACACACCUGCUCCUGCUUAACCCUGUGCGUGCUGGGGCUGGGCGCGCGGUGGGGGAGGGCUGCCCGACUACGCGGAACCAGCCCCAGGCCGCGGAGUGCGCGCAGGCCAAGACAGUCAACCUCCGGAGUCUCUGGCCAGGCCUGACGAUCUCCGGGUGCGCGGGAAUGGGGAUCCCCGGCGAGACCGUGGGGAUGUCCCGUACCCUUCGCUGUGCCCCUCGACCCGCACUGGCCUCUCCCGCACAGCCCAUGGAUCCGGAGUCUGCCUCCCGCGCGCCCGCGUGGCUCCGGCGGGAGAGGGAAGGAGCAAACUGAGGCUCAGAGGGAAGGGACUUGCCCAGGUUCACACAGCAAGUUUGUGCUAGAGCCUGGGCUGGCACAUACCUUGCCCGCCUGCCUAUCAAAAACCCCUGGAGGGCUUGGAAGAGGAGGCAGCUGGUGCUGGCGCCCAGGCUAGCCAGCACAGAGAGCCCCAGGGCCUGGCUCUGGGACGCUGCUGACUGUGGGCACGAUCACUGGGGGAAGACUCCCUCCCUUUCCAAACAUACACACUUCCUGUCCCUCAGGAGCUGGGAGCCGCCUGGAAAGGAGGAGGAAGAGGAGGAGGAGGAGGAGGAGGAGGAGGAAGGAGUCCUUGCCAAGGCCUUGGAAACCCUGAGUAAUGGACAGGGGAGCCUCUGCCCUGCUCCACCCAGUCAUGGCUGCCGUCUGCGCAGGGAGCAGGAACCACACACGUGGGAGGAACGGAUUUCUUAAACAGAUGCUGAAAGAGAGCCCAGAUUUUGAAGUUGGCAGGAGAAUCGGGGCUCCGAAAAGAGUAAAUAAUAGUGUAUUAUUUGUAAUAUAAUAUUGUCUUAUAUGUAAUGUAUUAUUGCUGUGUUGAAUUGAGCACGUAGUAUGUGCCAGGCCCUCCUUCAGUUUGCCUCUUUUAACCCCUACCACAAGCUCAGCAGGCAGGUAUUCAUAUUCUAACCACGUUCUUGUAGCUUUGUAAGUGAUCAAGAAAGUAUAUUUGCAAAUAAAAAUAGUUCCAGAGCUAGACAGUUUCUGUGGGUCACCAGAGCCCAAGAUAUUGUACCCACUUUCCAGGUGAAGGUACUGAGGCUCCAGGAGCUUAAGUCCCUUGCCCAAGGUUGUCAGUAAAGAAAGCCCUUGCUGGGGCGUUUCUGUGAAUGGAAGACCUCUGGGUUUCCUUCUUUCCUUCAAGUUUUCAUGCCAGCCCAGCCUCCUCCUGCCUUCCACCACCACCCCUUCAAGUUUUUGUGCACAUUAUCUCCUCAGCCUCGAUGUCCCUCCUCCCUUCUAUUCUCAGUCUUCCCCAUCACCUCCUUUUCUUUGAACCUGAGGCCCCUCUGCCCCAGAGGCUGAGGUGUGUCUGGGAGAUAAACUCGAUGUGCCUUGCCCUAAGACCACUGACCCAGGCAGGUGAAAGGAAAGCAGGUUCUAGAGCUCUUUGCAUAACAACAAAACUUCUCCCAAGAAAAGUGGUUAUGGGCUUAGUAGGGCCCCCUCCGUGCUCAUCCAAACACAUACACACACACCCUCACCCCAAAAACAAGAGUCCCAGUUGUGGUUGAAAAGAAGGAAGACAUUUCUUGUGGGUCGGGGUUAUCUUACUCUCAGCUGAGCCAAGGGGGAAGAGGGCAUCUUGGGGUGGGGAGGGCUGCACUGUGGUAGCAAUGUCAAUGAUCAGUGGGGGUGGUCCCUGUUGACAAAGGAAAGAGAAAAUGGAAAACAGUGUCUGGUGUGUUCAGAGGGCACCCAUAUCGGAAGACUCUAGCUUGGCAAGGCAUAUGAAAAAGCCAGCUCCUACAGUCCCAGGGGCCUUUUGGGGGUCCCUAGAGGUCUCACCUCCCCCUUGGAGCUCAUCCCAGCCCUCCCUAUUUCCUGCCUCCAGGCUGGCUUCCUGCUCAAAUGAGGCCUUGAGUGUGUUGUGCUCAGGUGAGGGCCCCCUCCCACCCAGUGUUUUGAGGACUGGACUUAGAUUUGGGGCCCCAAGGGUACAUGAAGGAUGCUUCUUCCUAACCCCAGGACCUAAAGCCCUUCUUCCCAGAACCCAUCACAAGCAUUAAAAAGUGGGGCUCCUGCCUCAGGGGAAGAAAGAGCUGCCCGAAUGAGCUAAGGGCUCCAUCUGUAAAGCCAUUCGUGACAUAGGAUGUGGGGGAGAUUGGGGUGCAGUGGAUGUCCAAGGAGCCUCCUAAAGCCAGACCUGGUGAAGCCACACUGGCUUCUUAGGGUUUCCGACCCUAAAGUAAUAGUGUCACCUGGGACUGAGAAGCAUGGCUGGCACCUUUGGGGUCAUUUGUUUUGGGACCUUGAAGGGCUCACACAGGAUACCUGUUCCCUCACAGUCCCCUCUCUUCUCCACCCACCCACCCCCACUGAGGGGGGGUGACGAUGGAGUGGGGUGGGUGCUGUGACUCGUCCUCCAUUUGGCAAGUGAAUCUGGAGAUCUUUCUCAGGGACAGGCAAGCUCAAAGGUGACUGCAAGUCCUAAUCUGUGAGGGAAUGCCAGUUAGGACUCAGGGACCUAAGUGAGGAAGGCUUCAAGGUGAGGGUAGCCAAGCCUUUGAGCUGGCUUUCAGUAGAACUUUUAUCAAGCAGGGUCGAGUCUCACAAAGUAUUCUGGGUGAUGGGAACAGCAUUCAGACAACCUGGAAUAGACAAGCCUAAAGCAGGAACCUGGGAUGAGGGGGUUAGCUGGCAGAUAUGAGGGGAGAAGGAAUGGGAUUCCUUUUAUUUCAUUUAUUUAUUUGACACACAGAGAGGGAGUGGGCACACAAAUAGGCAGAGUGGCAGGCAGAGGGAGGGAGAAGGAGGCUCCCCCACUGAGCAGACAGCCUGCCAUGGGGCUCAAUCCCAGGACCCCAGGACCAUGACCUGAGCUGAAAGCAGAGGCUUAACCCACUGAGUCACCGAGGCGCCCCAUCCCUGGAAUGGAAUUGUAAUGCUUCCUUUCACUCUGUGACCUUUUCUUAAUCCCAAGGGUGACUCCCUCCUCUCUCACCUUUUCUUUUUUUUUUUUUUUUUUAACUCCAUCUCCAAACUGUGUCUGAGACCCCGCCAGCAGAGGACCCUGGUGGCAAAGAGAAAGAGGGGAAAAUGGGGAGAACCCACCUCUUUUGAGGAAGAGCCCCACAUGGAGCCUCAGUCAGCUUCCCACCUGAUGACUCUCAAGAUGUGGCUACAGUUUCCUCCCAAGUCCAGACCCCAACUCUCCCCUAAGGGAUCUCACCCCUCCUGGGCCCUGUGACAGCUGGCCCGGUACCCAUUUGGUCUCUGAUUUCUAUGCAAUGCCCUGCCAAGAAACUCAUCUCUCAGCAAGUACCUUCUGCCACUGAGUCCUCCUUCUUGGGUGCAGGGGACAACUUCUUACCUUGUCCCCAUUUCAAAAUAAAUAUUUUUGCCAGAAGAGUCAGAGUCUGCCUCUUUUCUCUGUCCCAAAAGAGAGAGGGAAAGGCACAACUCUGAGUGCUUUCA